Long non-coding RNA from Canis lupus familiaris (dog), 614 nucleotides. RefSeq lists it as uncharacterized. The record is from RefSeq and is a predicted model, not a curated record. The transcript has 3 exons. Lineage: Eukaryota; Metazoa; Chordata; Mammalia; Carnivora; Canidae.
AAUGUAUAUUCCACUUACAUGUCUUUUCCUAGGAGGAACUUUUCACUUUCCGAUUUCAGUAUUCAUACUGAAGCCUCUGCAGACACCUAAGUCCCAGGAUUCAUCAGAUUCCCAGAUUCUAUGGAUCUUCAUCUUCUUAUCAAUCAUUUGCAAAUACGGUCAAUUCUAAGAAAUUCAUUAACAUAGCAUACUGCUCUACUUUUAAAUCAGUAUUUAUCACCAUCAGACAAGAUCCUGAUCUUGACUCAGUAACUACCCUGAACUGUUCUUAAAUAUUACUGAAAGUAGCUCCAUUAUUGGUUUCUUCUUCUGUGAGAAAAAAGCCAGAGGAAGGGAUGGGGAGAGAAAGAAGUGAAGAGAAAAAGAAAAGGAGAAGAAGAGAAGGAAGACAGAGGAAUAAAGAGAUCGAAUGAUUUCAGAUUUGGAGGAUUUAACAUACACAUGCUUCUAAGACACAUGAUGGGGUAAAUUUCUUUCUUUCUUUUUUUUAAAGUAAGCUCUAGGUCCAACAUGGGGCUUAAACUCAGAGUUGCAUGCUCUACUGACUGAGCCAGAUGCCCCAUGGGGUAAAUUUAUUAAACAUGAUCAUGUGAAAUGCCCCAAGUUUACCAAGA